CACGAGGAGGAGUUUGACGAUGUAGUGGUUGAAGAAGAAGCCCCCGAUCUGCUAGAGGAGAUUCGCUUGUUAGCCCUAGCUAGGGUUCACACAACGAAGAACUUCAGCCAAGCUGCUUUCUUCAAAGACAUGAGGGCAGCAUGGAACACGGCUAAGCCCGUUCGCUUCCGCCCAAUCGGAUCACACUUGUUUGUGGUCCAAGCUUCCUACCUUGGGGAUUGGGAUCGGCUCAUGACCCAAGGGCCAUGGCUCUUUCAGAACAUGGCAGUUCUCCUGGCGCAGUAUGAUGGUUUUACAGAUGCUGAAGAAGUACCUAUAGUUCAUAUGCCUAUCUGGCUACAGAUACACAAGCUGCCAGAUGGUUACUGUAGGAACGAUUUGAUUGCAAAAUUGUUAAGAUCAGCGGGUGAAAUCCUGGAGACUAGAAUCAACGGAAACUCUAGAGGGGAUUAUGUUCGCGUUCGUGUGAAACAGGAUAUCACAAAACCUCUGACAAAGUUUGUAAGUAUUGUAUGGGAAAAAUCGUAA
Molecule: ribosomal RNA, 528 nt
Filed under: Triticum aestivum (bread wheat)
Lineage: Eukaryota; Viridiplantae; Streptophyta; Magnoliopsida; Poales; Poaceae
Description: partial small subunit ribosomal RNA
Source: RNAcentral